Molecule: ribosomal RNA, 492 nt
Filed under: uncultured bacterium
Lineage: Bacteria
Description: partial 16S ribosomal RNA
Rfam family: Bacterial small subunit ribosomal RNA
Source: RNAcentral
AGUGAACGCUGGCGGUAGGCCUAACACAUGCAAGUCGAACGGCAGCACAGUAAGAGCUUGCUCUUACGGGUGGCGAGUGGCGGACGGGUGUGGAAUACAUCGGAAUCUACUUUUUCGUGGGGGAUAACGUAGGGAAACUUACGCUAAUACCGCAUACGACCUACGGGUGAAAGCAGGGGAUCUUCGGACCUUGCGCGAUUGAAUGAGCCGAUGUCGGAUUAGCUAGGUGGCGGGGUAAAGGCCCACCAAGGCGACGAUCCGUAGCUGGUCUGAGAGGAUGAUCAGCCACACUGGAACUGAGACACGGUCCAGACUCCUACGGGAGGCAGCAGUGGGGAAUAUUGGACAAUGGGCGCAAGCCUGAUCCAGCCAUACCGCGUGGGUGAAGAAGGCCUUCGGGUUGUAAAGCCCUUUUGUUGGGAAAGAAAAGCAGCAGGUUAAUACCCCGCUGUUCUGACGGUACCCAAAGAAUAAGCACCGGCUAACUUCGUG